This 404-nucleotide ribosomal RNA is filed under the name Verrucomicrobiota bacterium. Its description in RNAcentral is "Verrucomicrobia bacterium partial 16S ribosomal RNA". It matches the Rfam family "Bacterial small subunit ribosomal RNA", at positions 355 to 776 of the family's 1533-position model. The record is from RNAcentral. Lineage: Bacteria; Pseudomonadati; Verrucomicrobiota.
UGGGGAAUAUUGCACAAUGGGGGAAACCCUGAUGCAGCGACGCCGCGUGAGCGAUGAAGGCUUUCGAGUCGUAAAGCUCUGUCCUAUGGGAAGAUAAUGACGGUACCACAGAAGAAAGCCCCGGCUAAUUACGUGCCAGCAGCCGCGGUAAUACGUAAGGGGCGAGCGUUGUCCGGAAUUAUUGGGCGUAAAGAGUGCGUAGGCGGCAAAUUAAGUCAGAUGUGAAAACUAAGGGCUCAACCCAUAGAUUGCAUCUGAAACUGAUAUGCUUGAGUCAAGGAGAGGAAAGUGGAAUUCCUAGUGUAGCGGUGGAAUGCGUAGAUAUUAGGAGGAAUACCGGUGGCGAAGGCGACUUUCUGGACUUGAACUGACGCUGAGGCACGAAAGCGUGGGGAGCAAACAGG